This 767-nucleotide long non-coding RNA is filed under the name Homo sapiens (human). RNAcentral's name for it is "non-protein coding lnc-PCGF3-1:1". The record is from RNAcentral. Lineage: Eukaryota; Metazoa; Chordata; Mammalia; Primates; Hominidae.
GUCCUGGGCUGCGGUCACUUCCAGGCACUGGGUGUCCUGGAAUCCCGCCUAGUCGUGCCCUCAGCCAGUAUGCCUGGGCCUCACCGACCCCCUGCCCACCCGCGUUUCUCAUCUCCCGUGAGUGCGUCUGCCCUCCGUAGUAGCUGAAUAUUGUCCCCCUCAAAUUCAUAUUGCCUGGAGCUUCAAAGGUGAUCUCAUUCGGAAACAGGUCUUUGUUGAUCUCAUAAUGGUAAGGAUGGGGACGAGGCCAUCCUGGAUUUGAGGGGCCUCAAGUCCAGUGAGAGUGUCCUUGUAAGAGACAGAAAGGACAGACACCCGGAUGGGGGCGGGCAUACGAAAGCGGAGGAGGUCGCGAGUGGUCAAGAAACACCAGGGAUUCGGGGCCGCCAGACGCAGGAAGGGGCAGGGAAGGGCCCUCCCCCAGAGCCUCCAGAGGGAGUGUGGGAUUUUGUUCUUCUGCCCUCCAGGCCUCUAAGUUUUUGUCAGGCCCCGGGGUUUUGGUUUCUAGAUCAAUACGCCUCCCCACGCCACACUCCUCCAGCCCUCCCGUGAGCCACCAGCCCAGGAAGCCUGUGGUCAUGGUCAGGCCACGGAACUACGGAACAGCCUCCUGCUGCCCAGGAAGGACCCCCGGGCCAGGUCCAAGGUCCUGGAUCUGAGAUUACAGGUGCUCUGGAGUAGUGAAGGCGUCAGCAGCUGCGUCCAGGAGAAAACUUAGGAGGGGAGUGGGCACCAGCACUCUACAGGACGGAGGAGCACACCGCGGG